UGAGGAAUAUUGGUCAAUGGGCGAGAGCCUGAACCAGCCAAGUCGCGUGAAGGAAGAAUGUCCUAUGGAUUGUAAACUUCUUUUGUACAGGAAUAAAGAUACAUACGUGUAUGUAGUUGUAUGUACUGUACGAAUAAGGAUCGGCUAACUCCGUGCCAGCAGCCGCGGUAAUACGGAGGAUCCAAGCGUUAUCCGGAUUUAUUGGGUUUAAAGGGUGCGUAGGCGGGAUAAUAAGUCAGUGGUGAAAGUUUGCAGCUUAACUGUAAAAUUGCCAUUGAAACUGUUAUUCUUGAGUACAGACAAGGUAGGCGGAAUGUAUUGUGUAGCGGUGAAAUGCUUAGAUAUAAUACAGAACCCCGAUUGCGAAGGCAGCUUACCGGGCUGUAACUGACGCUGAGGC
This 400-nucleotide ribosomal RNA is filed under the name uncultured bacterium. RNAcentral describes it as "bacterial SSU rRNA". It matches the Rfam family "Bacterial small subunit ribosomal RNA", at positions 355 to 752 of the family's 1533-position model. The record is from RNAcentral.